AUCACCCUAGGCUCUUGUCAUCAGUUGCCAAGGCUAUGGAAGCCCCCUGAGUUCACCGACUCUGAUCAUAUUUAGACAAGGCCAUGGUCAAAGUGGAAGCUCUCUCCUCCCUUCAGAGAAAGGUUGCCCGAGGUGGUACACUCGAUUCAGUUUCCCAACCAAUGGAAACUGCAGUUUGUGAAAUAUCACCCAUGGCUGUAUGUGAAGAAGGAAUGAGCUACAGUAAGGCUCAUGCUCACACCUAACUUCACAGUGCAGGUUUCGUGAUAUCUAAUGAUCUAUCCUCAAAGUUGCUAUUUCUUCCAUCAGCUCCAAUCCGCAGGAAUUUUAAUGAGGCUAAACAGAAAUGACGGACUGUCGUACCUGUGAUGGAUGGAGUCUCAUAUCUCAGGUCAGGUAUUCAAGCCUUUGUUGCAAGCUGCUUUCAAUUGCCCCACCAAUGCAUGGUUCAGGGGUCAUCCAGAAACUUGAGCUGGGCUUAACUGUUGAAUUAAGGGUUUCCUACUCUUUGACUUUCUAACCCUCUCCUGGCUCUGAUUGCCCUGGGACUCCUUUACCUGGUUCAAAUGACAGGGCUUUCUAUCACAAUUUUCGUCAUCCCCAUGCCACCUACAACACGACUGUGCUACCUUCAAAGUAAAGCCACAAAAUCCAGAGAACUCACUCUAUUUGGUUCCUUCAAGUUUCAGAGCUCCUCCCAAAUGCACUGUCUUAGCUCAGUCUCUAGAUAAAAUAAAAAUAGUUGUGUACUAGUUUCAUAUUUUUUUUAUUCUCAGGAGUAGCUCACUACUCCAUACUAGAGGUAAAUUUUUAAUUCUAUUUUUUAAAUUUAAGAAUGUUUAAGUAUUUUGUUUUCAAGUUUAAAACUUGGAUUAUAUAAAGUUAUUAACUGAGACAAAUAAAGAUGUUCCACUAACUACAUGAAAUCUGAAAUUAAAGUUUAUGAUUCCCAAGUUGCCAUCUUAUUUCAUUGUCAACAUCUAAUUUAAUCUCCCUUGCACAAUAUUGAGAAAUUUUGAUUUAUAUGAGCAUAUAGUUGCAAAAGAGAACUUUUUAAAAACAAUUUAUCUUAGGAGAACUGUCAAUAAAACAGAAAGAGGUUCGUAUAAAGAAGAGUCAAAUUGGCAACAUGAUCCUCGUAUCCAAGUUUCUAUAAACAUUCCAUGAAAAGCAGACAUCUGUUGUCAGAUGUACUGGGGAGAACUGCCUGGUGUAUUCCACCAGAAAAUCAUAAAUAUCUGAGAUUCUGAGGAGAAGUGUUUUAAGUGUAAUUUAACCCAA
Molecule: non-coding RNA, 1281 nt
Organism: Oryctolagus cuniculus (rabbit)
Lineage: Eukaryota; Metazoa; Chordata; Mammalia; Lagomorpha; Leporidae
Source: RefSeq, a predicted model, not a curated record